This is a long non-coding RNA of Fundulus heteroclitus (mummichog), 942 nucleotides long. RefSeq lists it as uncharacterized. The record is from RefSeq and is a predicted model, not a curated record. NCBI's taxonomy places the organism in Eukaryota, Metazoa, Chordata, Actinopteri, Cyprinodontiformes, Fundulidae. The transcript has 2 exons.
UAAAAGCAGAAGUACGUACCGGCGUUGGUGGAGGAGUCGAUGUAUUGCACUUCCUCUGCUGCAUCAGGGGUCUGGGGAGAAAAGCAGCUUUAGAUGAAUAACAGAGAGUUGGUAACACAAAUCCUCUAACAGCCUAUGUCUGCCCACAGGAAUCCUUCACCGUCUGAGUAGAGGAAGCAACCCGUCACUGAACCUCCAGGUCCGUCAACGCCGCAGAAGCCAGAGAACAGCUACUCUACCACACCCCCCACUCCCACUCCCACCAGAAACCACAGGGAGAAUCGGCCACAGGAUGCGUUCUGAUGGAUCGGCCCGUCAAGCAGCAGCGUCUCACGGUGUUUCAGCGCAGUGAGACUGGACUUGUGGGUCUUACCCUCCAUGGGGGUGGGGGACGGCGUCGGGGCCGGCGACGGCGACUCCGUCAGCUGGUCCAGCGCGCCGCCGCGCUUCUUCCCGUCCCGAGACUUGGCGAUGACCAUCUGAGCCUUCAGCGCGUCCUGCUCCAGAGACUUCAUUCUGCACAGGAGACAACCGAGUUCAGGCGGGACGCUCUCGCAUCGAGUCAGGGGUGAGAAACGAGGACAAGAGAUGCCAGCGGUGGUUUGUAGGCCAUUCACGACUAAAAAACCGGGCGCUCCUUGUCCUGGUUUGCUGCGCUGAUCUCAUUUCGUGACGAGAUGUGAGAAAUAGAGACGGAAGGCAUUCCAGGAAAAGGACGACCUACUGCUAGUAGGUUUACCCUUAGCGCUCACCAGCUUUGCAAACGUACAGCGGGCUAUGUGUUAAUACACAUACCGCCAUGACGGCAAGGCACAAAAGGAACGUAAAGAGCUCUACAGCGGAGGAGGGAGGAGGCGACACAGAGGAGGGGAGUCGGGGACAAACUGAACCACAGACAGAAAACACAGAAGACGUGCAGAAGCAAAAGAAAGAAAAAAAAAA